GGAAGCAUGUCCGUCGCUGGUGGGCGGCCCGGUCUUCAAAACCGGUGGGGGGGAUGAGAAAUCUCCUCGGUGAGUUCGAUUCUCAUAUGCUUCCGCCA
Molecule: transfer RNA, 98 nt
Filed under: Geobacter hydrogenophilus
Lineage: Bacteria; Pseudomonadati; Thermodesulfobacteriota; Desulfuromonadia; Geobacterales; Geobacteraceae
Description: tRNA-Sec
Rfam family: Selenocysteine transfer RNA
Source: RNAcentral